This 468-nucleotide ribosomal RNA is filed under the name uncultured bacterium. RNAcentral describes it as "partial 16S ribosomal RNA". It matches the Rfam family "Bacterial small subunit ribosomal RNA", at positions 28 to 507 of the family's 1533-position model. The record is from RNAcentral.
GACGAACGCUGGCGGCGUGCUUAACACAUGCAAGUCGAACGGAAAGGCCCUGCUUUUGUGGGGUGCUCGAGUGGCGAACGGGUGAGUAACACGUGAGUAACCUGCCCUUGACUUUGGGAUAACUUCAGGAAACUGGGGCUAAUACCGGAUAGGAGCUCCUGCUGCAUUGUGGGGGUUGGAAAGUUUCGGCGGUUGGGGAUGGACUCGCGGCUUAUCAGCUUGUUGGUGGGGGAGUGGCUUACCAAGGCUUUGACGGGUAGCCGGCCUGAGAGGGUGACCGGCGACAUUGGUACUGAGAGACGGCCCAGACUGGUACGGGAGGCAGCAGUGGGGAAUAUGGCACAAUGGGCGGAAGCCUGAUGCAGCAACGCUGCGUGCGGGAUGACGGCCUUCGGGUUGUAAACCGCUGUCGUCUGUGACGAAGCGUGAGUGACGGUAAUGGGUAAAGAAGCACCGGCUAACUACGUG